CCGCUAUUGGAGUUCGAUUAAGCCAUGCGAGUCGAGAGUCUUAGGGACUCGGCGUACCGCUCAGUAACACGUGGGUAACCUGCCCUAUGCUGGGGAAUAACCUCGGGAAACUGAGAAUAAUGCCCCAUAGUCCACAAUGCCUGGAACGGUUUGUGGACCAAAGCUCCGGCGGCAUAGGAUGGGCCUGCGGCGUAUCAGGUUGUAGGGGGUGUAACGUACCCUCUAGCCAUCAACGCGUACGGGUGUUGGGAGACAUAGCCCGGAGAUGGAUUCUGAGACACGAAUCCAGACCCUACGGGGUGCAGCAGGCGCGAAAACUUGGCAAUGCGAGAAAUCGUGACCAGGGAACUCCAAGUGGCUGGGGUAAGACCCAGUCUUUUCUUGACUCUUCAAAGGUCUUGGAAUAAGGGGUGGGUAAGGACGGUGCCAGCCGCCGCGGUAAUACCGGCGCCUCAAGUGGUAGUCGAUUUUAUUGGGCCUAAAACGUCCGUAGCCUGUUUGGUACAUUCGUGGGUAAAUCAGCCAGCUCAACUGGUUGAAUUCUGCGAGCACGGCCAGACCUGGGACUGGGAGAGGUGUGGGGUACGCUCAGGGUAGGAGUAAAAUCCUGUCAUCCUGAGCGGACCACCUGUUGCGAAGGCGCCACACUAGAACGGAUCCGACGGUCAGGGACGAAGCCUAGGGGCACGAACCGGAUUAGAUACCCGGGUAGUCCUAGGUGUAAACGCUGUGGACUUGGUGUUGGGGACUCUCCGAGAAUCCUCAGUGCCGAAGCGAAGGUGAUAAGUCCACUGCCUGGGGAGUACGGUCGCAAGGCUGAAACUUAAAGGAAUUGGCGGGGGAGCACCGCAACCUGAGGAUUGUGCGG
This 868-nucleotide ribosomal RNA is filed under the name uncultured archaeon. Its description in RNAcentral is "bacterial SSU rRNA". It matches the Rfam family "Archaeal small subunit ribosomal RNA", at positions 27 to 900 of the family's 1478-position model. The record is from RNAcentral.